Long non-coding RNA from Homo sapiens (human), 299 nucleotides. NCBI's taxonomy places the organism in Eukaryota, Metazoa, Chordata, Mammalia, Primates, Hominidae. The record is from Ensembl.
GCACAACGUGCCCCGAGUGGAGGAACCGGGUGGCCCGCAGGAGCUGGUAGAAGAUGGAGCGCACGUGGACGUCCUGCAGCAGGCCGCCCUUCCGGAUGACUGCGUUCAGGGUACAUGGUGAGGGAGCAAGCCACUGUGGGCCAGCUGCAGAGGGACACGCAGGGGGACACGCAGAGGGACCCGCAGACGGCGUCAGGACAGAACAGAGGUGGGGCUGGGGCGCUGGCCGGGGCCUCACUCACCCAUAAACUCAAACACCAGGUAAAUGUCCCUGUCGUUCUCUGCCCGGAUCACGUCAA